Molecule: long non-coding RNA, 307 nt
Organism: Zalophus californianus (California sea lion)
Lineage: Eukaryota; Metazoa; Chordata; Mammalia; Carnivora; Otariidae
Exons: 2
Source: RefSeq, a predicted model, not a curated record
AUGUAACAGCACAGAAGUGAGCCAGGAACACAGGAAAGAAGAGCUUUCAAGUGUGUGUGACAACCCAGGAGCGACCCUCCUCUCCAAAUCUGAUGGUGUCAGAAUUGUGUUGAAUUGUAAGGAACUCAGCUGGAGCUGCUUGGAAUUACCCCUCAUGGAAAUUGGUGACCAGAGUCCUCGUGGUCCUGACAGGAGGAAGAGCAGAAUGAACAACAGGGCCCCAUGUCUUAUGCUCUCCGUAUAUGUUGAGAAAGUUUCCUUUCUUUCCUUUUUUUUUGUCCUAAUUAAUAUUUCUUUUUGAAAAGUA